This 73-nucleotide transfer RNA is filed under the name Dipodomys ordii (Ord's kangaroo rat). It matches the Rfam family "tRNA". Rfam says of the family: Transfer RNA (tRNA) molecules are approximately 80 nucleotides in length. Their secondary structure includes four short double-helical elements and three loops (D, anti-codon, and T loops). The record is from Rfam by way of RNAcentral. Lineage: Eukaryota; Metazoa; Chordata; Mammalia; Rodentia; Heteromyidae.
GGCUAUGUAGCUCAGGUGGUAGAGCUUCUACCUAACAAGUAGAAGGCCAUGAGUUUAAACUCUAGUGUUGUUA